Molecule: ribosomal RNA, 467 nt
Filed under: uncultured bacterium
Lineage: Bacteria
Description: partial 16S ribosomal RNA
Rfam family: Bacterial small subunit ribosomal RNA
Source: RNAcentral
ACGAACGCUGGCGGCGUGCUUAACACAUGCAAGUCGAACGGAAAGGCCCUGCUUUUGUGGGGUGCUCGAGUGGCGAACGGGUGAGUAACACGUGAGUAACCUGCCCUUGACUUUGGGAUAACUUCAGGAAACUGGGGCUAAUACCGGAUAGGAACUCCUGCUGCAUGGUGGGGGUUGGAAAGUUUCGGCGGUUGGGGAUGGACUCGCGGCUUAUCAGCUUGUUGGUGGGGUAGUGGCUUACCAAGGCUUUGACGGGUAGCCGGCCUGAGAGGGUGACCGGCCACAUUGGGACUGAGAUACGGCCCAGACGCCUACGGGAGGCAGCAGUGGGGAAUAUUGCACAAUGGGCGGAAGCCUGAUGCAGCAACGCCGCGUGCGGGAUGACGGCCUUCGAGUUGUAAACCGCUUUCGCCUGUGACGAAGCGUGAGUGACGGUAAUGGGUAAAGAAGCACCGGCUAACUACGUG